AAGUCGUAACAAGGUUUCCGUAGGUGAACCUGCGGAAGGAUCAUUAUUGAAGCUUUUGAGAGCGGGUUCGACGCUGGCCCUCCGGGGCAUGUGCUCGCCCGCUUGAUAAAUCCGCUCAACCCCUGUGCACCCUCGCCGAGACCUCGGGGCCUUCUGGCCUCGAACUCGGCUACACACAAACACCUUAAAAGUCUAUUGGAAUGUAAAUCUUUGAAACAUAAUACAACUUUCAACAACGGAUCUCUUGGCUCUC
Molecule: unclassified non-coding RNA, 253 nt
Filed under: air metagenome
Description: partial contains small subunit ribosomal RNA, internal transcribed spacer 1, and 5.8S ribosomal RNA
Rfam family: Eukaryotic small subunit ribosomal RNA (bases 1-46)
Source: RNAcentral